CGGGAGGACGGCGUCUCCAGGAGCCCCACUGACCGGCCAGCAAGGACUGCCAACACGAGUGACCGAGGGCCUGUCUAGUCUCCUUUACCCAGAAGAUGAGUAAAAGCUCCACCAUGAAGAACCCCAGAAGGGUGUCCUACGAUGCUAAUGUGCUGAAGACAUUUUGGGAGAAAAAAAUCGAGCUUCACACGAAACAACUGCAGGAUGAGGACCGGAGGGUCCGCAGGAGUGCCCUGGACAGGUGAGCCUGGUGUGGGCAACCAGCGGAGGGGCACCUGGCCAGGGCCCACAGACCCCCCACCGGCUUCCUCCCCCGGGACCAGGGUCUUGGGAGGAGUGGGUAAAAGCACAGAACACCAACCACUUAAUCUCAGCUUCUGAACUGAAUCGUUGACUCACUGGUGAGAGAGGAACACCCCAUUCCUCUGCUCCUCACUCCUUCACCCACCCCAACUUCACCCACACCUCCUUCACCCCAUCCCUCCAUCAUCGCACCCGCCAUUGCCCCAUGCCUCCAUCACCCAUCCCUCUAUCUCUCCAUCACCCAUCCCUUCAUCAUCCAUCCCUCCAUCUCUCCAUCACCCAUCCUUCCAUCACCCAUUCCUCCAUCAUCCCAUCCCUCCAUCAUCCCAUCCCUCUGUCUCUCCAUUACCUAUCCCUCCAUCACCCAUCCCUUCAUCAUCCAUCCCUCUAUCACCCAUGCCUCCAUUACCCCAUCCCUCCAUCCCUCCAUCACCCCAUCUCUCUAUCACCCAUCCCUUCAUCUCUGCUCCUCUGAGGGCUUUAUGGGAAGUUGUUGCCCAGGGCUUGUCUGGCUCAGCCUGGUUUUCUGACAUUCUCCCCCGCUGAAUGCAGGAUAAAUCCAUGUGUCCAUCCUGCUCCUUCCCUCACAUUUGCUUUCUUGCAGCUUCAAAGUUGAUGUCCUUUCCUUAACUGGGUGGAUGCCAGGGGCCUCUGGGAGCUGAGGGGGGUCUCCUGGGUGACUCUGAGCAGACCCAGGAGUCACAGCUCACGGGCAGCUAAGAGGGCAUAUUAGCACAUAAUUUGCACCUAGACAAGGACUCAAACGGCCAGAAACAUCCAAAGUGGUCACAGCCUUGGUCCCCAAAUAGCACCAGCAGCUGCUUGCCCUGAGAUCUGGCUUAGGAAGGAUUCUUGGCGGCUGAGGUGGGACCAGGCUUGGUACUGACCUUGCAAGUAGCCAGAGGUCUGGUUGUUGCACUGCCCCCACCCUGCUCAUCAUCCCGGACUCCUGCCUGUUCGGCACAAGUACAGGCCCUGGUGCCUCCUCUGCACAGCCCCGCAGAGCCAGACGCUGCACCCCAGGACCUCUCGGGGUAGGGGUACAGCACAGACUCUUCCAGGAAUGACUCCUCCCAGCCCUGGGCCCUCCUAGGUCUCUGUGGCCCCAUAUCUGCCCUGCGUGGCCAAGGGGCCCUGGAAACUUCUCAGUCUUGGCCCAUGGGUGCAGGUCCCAGGAGUGGGCAUCAUCAGGUCAAUGAGAAUGCGGUCAACACUGGCCAGGUUAGGCAUAAGUUCUGAGCUGCUGGGGCACAGACUGGGGGUGACAUCCUCACUUCUCUGGGGAGAGGGAGCUGGCUGUGGCGCCUUGGAUCUACCUGCCCACUGGGCAGCGGCUCCUGAUCGCAUCCCCACAGCCAUCCACUGCCUGGGAAAGGGGCAGGAGAGGGCCGGUGCCCUGGAGUUGGGCUGCCCAGCCUCCCUACCCACUGAUGGGAGGUCCCCUCCAUCCAGGCCCCUAGCACAGGGACCCCACCCUCCCCCCUCCAAACCACCCACACAUUCAGCCAGGCCCACGGUGGCUUCCGGUUCUGAGGGAGCCUGUGCCCCUGGGCCAGGCCAUUCCUGCCUUGGUCACUGCAUGAGUCAAGCUGUGGUCAUCACAAGAUGCCACCUUCCGAGGGAGGGAGCACCCAGUGGGGUGAGUGUGGGCCGCUCGGCGAGGCCAGCCCACACCGGCCGUGUCCAGACCUGAGGAGCACAGGUUCCUGCUGGGACUAGGCAUGCCCUGAGUCCUGUUUCCAUCUCUGGGAAGAGCCUGAGCCAGACCCUCCUUGGCGAGUGGGGCUUGAAGCAUGAGCACCAGGUCACAGGGCCCUUGGGGACCCCACAUGUCCGGCAGGCAGCCUGAGGAGGGGGAAGCUGAGUUGCCCGCAGACAGGCAGCUGUCCCCCACCCUCACUGUUGCCUGGUCCAGGCUCCGCGGUGAGUGGGCUCGGAAGCUGGAAAGAAGGAACCAGAUGCUGCAGAGCAGCCGGGAGGCAGCCCCGCGGCCCCCCCUGCCCGGCACCCCCGGCCGCCACACCCAGGACCAGCUGGCAGCCUGAGGCCAGGACCUGCCUCCUCUGACGGCCCCGCAGUGGUCCUCCCAGCAGCCGGACCCCUUCACAGUUUUGUGUCUCUAGCGUGAUGCGAACACCCAAUAAAAUCCAAGAAAAGU
RNAcentral lists this long non-coding RNA (2461 nucleotides) under Sus scrofa (pig). Its description in RNAcentral is "lncRNA (ENSSSCG00015077369.1)". The record is from RNAcentral. Lineage: Eukaryota; Metazoa; Chordata; Mammalia; Artiodactyla; Suidae.